Molecule: non-coding RNA, 82 nt
Organism: Amanita rubescens
Lineage: Eukaryota; Fungi; Basidiomycota; Agaricomycetes; Agaricales; Amanitaceae
Source: the annotation of a GenBank genome assembly
UGCCCCAUGGCUGAGUUGGUUACAGCGUCCGACUGUUAAGUGUGCAAUCGGAAGGUCGUGAGUUCGAGCCUCACUGGGGCAG